GUUUAAUUACAUGUAAACCUUCACGUGUUGUGCGACUUAUGCCAUCCAUAAGUACAACGAUUCAACACGAGCAGUAACUGAGACUAUCAACUAAGCUUCUAUUCACUAGGUAAUCGUCUAAAUCAACUGUAAGCUAGAAACAAUAAACUAUACAAGUUGGAACACAUUGAAUUACAUAUGACCAUAAUAUUUACAGAUAUUCCUAGUCUUCAUGUUUCUCUACAUGGGAAAGUUGAAAUUCUGAUACCCUCCUUGAUUCUGAAGACAGUUUUGAGGUGGCACCAUCUUUGUAUCCACUGCAGUGGUAAUGUCAUGUAUGCUUGACCUUUUACGUUCUUUCUUCAUCGACUGCUGUCUAAGGUAGUAUUUUUGAGCAUGAC
Molecule: unclassified non-coding RNA, 380 nt
Filed under: Hevea brasiliensis (rubber tree)
Lineage: Eukaryota; Viridiplantae; Streptophyta; Magnoliopsida; Malpighiales; Euphorbiaceae
Source: RNAcentral